This 72-nucleotide transfer RNA is filed under the name Limnichthys fasciatus (barred sand burrower). Its description in RNAcentral is "tRNA-Gln". It matches the Rfam family "tRNA". From Rfam's summary of the family: Transfer RNA (tRNA) molecules are approximately 80 nucleotides in length. Lineage: Eukaryota; Metazoa; Chordata; Actinopteri; Acropomatiformes; Creediidae. The record is from RNAcentral.
UAGGAGCUAGUGUAGACGGAAGCACUGAAGGUUUUGAUCCUUCCAGGUAGGGUUCAAAUCCCUUGUUUCUAG